This 253-nucleotide ribosomal RNA is filed under the name uncultured bacterium. RNAcentral's name for it is "partial 16S ribosomal RNA". It matches the Rfam family "Bacterial small subunit ribosomal RNA", at positions 524 to 776 of the family's 1533-position model. The record is from RNAcentral.
UACAGAGGGGGCAAGCGUUGUUCGGAAUUACUGGGCGUAAAGGGCGCGUAGGCGGCCUUCUAAGUCGAACGUGAAAUCCCCGGGCUCAACCCGGGAACUGCGUCCGAUACUGGAAGGCUUGAAUCCGGGAGAGGGAUGCGGAAUUCCAGGUGUAGCGGUGAAAUGCGUAGAUAUCUGGAGGAACACCGAUGGCGAAGGCAGCCCCCUGGGUCAAGACUGACGCUCAUGCACGAAAGCGUGGGGAGCAAACAGG